ACAUAUACUUGAAGAAAACAAAUAUCAAAAAGCAAACUCUCAUUUGAUUGGGUCUUGUUGGAAAAGAAAAAAAAUUAUAUCCAGGACAACAUCUCUCUCUUAAAACUAGUUUAUUGCACAUCCCAAAUGUCUCUUAUUUCUUAUCUGAUGUGAAACUAAAGCAUCUUAGUUAUCCUUUUAGAGUGUUAGCAUUGCAAGUUUUGCUAGUUGUAUUUAGCUCAGAAGGAAUGGUGAUUAGAUAGGAUUCCGGGGAGUUGGAUACAGCAGUCGAAAUGAUGGAACCGACUUUGUUGCAACAGAUUCACUAUUUCUACGUGCUUGUCUCUUCCUAAUCACUAGGAAGGAGUUGGGUACAUUAUUUGCCAUUAACACUCUCUUCUGAUCAUUAGAGACAGGCAAAAUGGGGAAAAAGACCCAUCAAGUUUUUAUUAUUGAGAAGCUUCUCAAAUGGUUGACUGAUCAAAUAAAAGAAAGGGAACGUGGUGCAGAAUUGAAGAGGGAAAGAGAAGCAAAACAGAUGGGACCAGCUGCUGAAUACUUGCAUGUUUGAUUCUUCCAUCUUCAUUUUGUUUUCCUUUUUUCUUUUAGAGUAUGUUGGCUCAUGAUUGGAAUUCUGUUCAUAGAAUUUUAUAAUUUUAUAAUAUUAGGUAUUGUACGCAAGUAGAAGAAUUUGAUCAAAGGUUCCAA
Molecule: long non-coding RNA, 687 nt
Organism: Gossypium arboreum
Lineage: Eukaryota; Viridiplantae; Streptophyta; Magnoliopsida; Malvales; Malvaceae
Exons: 2
Source: RefSeq, a predicted model, not a curated record